UAUUUUGCUGAUGUGGCACCGUAUUUAUUGAAAAAAGAGGUAGAAAAAAUAAGACUCCAAGUCUUAUUUUUUCUACCUCUUUUUUCAAUAAAUACGGUGCCACAUCAGCAAAAUA
RNAcentral lists this microRNA precursor (115 nucleotides) under Sorghum bicolor (sorghum). Its description in RNAcentral is "pre miRNA mir-172". Lineage: Eukaryota; Viridiplantae; Streptophyta; Magnoliopsida; Poales; Poaceae. The record is from RNAcentral.